CAGUAGCCACGGUAAUACGAAGGGGGCUAGCGUUGUUCGGAUUUACUGGGCGUAAAGCGCACGUAGGCGGACUUUUAAGUCAGGGGUGAAAUCCCGGGGCUCAACCCCGGAACUGCCUUUGAUACUGGAAGUCUUGAGUAUGGUAGAGGUGAGUGGAAUUCCGAGUGUAGAGGUGAAAUUCGUAGACAUUCGGAGGAACACCAGUGGCGAAGGCGGCUCACUGGACCAUUACUGACGCUGAUGCACGAAAGCUAGGGGAGCAAACAGGAUUAGAUACCCCCGUAGUCCCUGUCUCUUAUAC
RNAcentral lists this ribosomal RNA (301 nucleotides) under uncultured bacterium. RNAcentral's name for it is "partial 16S ribosomal RNA". It matches the Rfam family "Bacterial small subunit ribosomal RNA", at positions 509 to 807 of the family's 1533-position model. The record is from RNAcentral.